RNAcentral lists this transfer RNA (125 nucleotides) under Candidatus Hydrogenedens sp. Its description in RNAcentral is "tRNA-OTHER". Lineage: Bacteria; Pseudomonadati; Candidatus Hydrogenedentota; Candidatus Hydrogenedentia; Candidatus Hydrogenedentales; Candidatus Hydrogenedentaceae. The record is from RNAcentral.
GGGUAACCGUUGGGGUAACAGGAUUUUCGCCCGUCUGCAAGUUAUUGUCCCCCAAGCCCUUCCAACCCGUGGAAAGGUGACUCUUAAUCACAAGGUCGCAGGUUCGAAUCCUGCACGGCCCACCA